RNAcentral lists this transfer RNA (73 nucleotides) under Dipodomys ordii (Ord's kangaroo rat). It matches the Rfam family "tRNA". Rfam says of the family: Transfer RNA (tRNA) molecules are approximately 80 nucleotides in length. Their secondary structure includes four short double-helical elements and three loops (D, anti-codon, and T loops). The record is from Rfam by way of RNAcentral. Lineage: Eukaryota; Metazoa; Chordata; Mammalia; Rodentia; Heteromyidae.
GGUAGUGUAGUUCAAGUAGUAGAGCUGUUGCCUAGUAAGCAAGAGGCACUGAGUUCAAAGCUCAGGACUGCCA